This is a long non-coding RNA of Alligator mississippiensis (American alligator), 370 nucleotides long. RefSeq lists it as uncharacterized. The transcript has 3 exons. The record is from RefSeq and is a predicted model, not a curated record. Lineage: Eukaryota; Metazoa; Chordata; Crocodylia; Alligatoridae.
UUCCCGCGGAAAACGCCGCGCGCUGAUUGGCCGCCCGCAGGGUUCGCUACAGAAUGGUUACACUGCGUUCUGUUCUUAAAGGGGCCGCGUCGGUGCGCCUCGGAAGCUGGGUGGAUGCAGGGUAGCACCAGGAGAUUAAGCGAGCUGUCGAGCUGGAGAGGGGGCCGAGACAGGCUGGGAAAACUACCUGCCCCCAAAAGCUUGCAAAGACACCAGACAGAGCCUAGGACCGCAUGGCAGGACAUCUCUCUCCAAACUGAUGAUAAGCCCCUGACAUGAAGGUUCUCCUGGAUGGCUUCGAGGACAAGGGAGAAAUCAUCACAGGUGGCUUCGGUCAGGUUAGCCAAGUUGCCAUGGGUCCACGGCUCCU